Molecule: non-coding RNA, 495 nt
Organism: Nothobranchius furzeri (turquoise killifish)
Lineage: Eukaryota; Metazoa; Chordata; Actinopteri; Cyprinodontiformes; Nothobranchiidae
Source: RefSeq, a predicted model, not a curated record
GUUCUGUCUCCAGGCUAGUGGCUAAGUACUGAGGGCUUCAUCUAUCUAAAAUGAGUCAUUUCCAUCUGAAUGUGGCAGCACCGGGACACAGCAGCAGAGCGAGUCCACAUCCAGAAGACUGGAGCCGUGUUUCACUGACAGGCUGUCAGACUAAAGCCCUGAUGAGCUCAGCUGGGACAAACUGGUCUGAUGUUUAGGAACACAGAACGUUCAGAUGUUGGCGUUUCACGUCACCUACUGAGGAAGGAGACCCACCAGUAAAGAGACGGUCUGGACCAGACCAAAAAUAUGGCGAUGACAUCAUGGAACUGGUCUUUGGAAAAGUUUUCCCUGAACCAACUCCGUUUCUAGAUGAGGUAGAGAAGAUCUGCAUCUCACCAACCCUCUGGUCUCAGUAUUCAGACAACGGAGGUUUCCCACUGUUAUCCAGGACCAGUUUGAAGCCCACAUACAGCCCCUCCCUCAUCAUCAGGAAACAUCAAUCCGUAUCCUGAG